AAUUCUAAUUAAACUAUUCUUUG
This 23-nucleotide transfer RNA is filed under the name Lateolabrax japonicus (Japanese seabass). RNAcentral describes it as "partial tRNA-Pro". Lineage: Eukaryota; Metazoa; Chordata; Actinopteri; Acropomatiformes; Lateolabracidae. The record is from RNAcentral.